CGCUUCAACUUGAAUUAGCAGUGUCGUUCAAAAUGCGAAUCGUAUAUGUGUGUUUUGUGUGAUACUGUUAUGAAGUAUACGUAAAGUGCCUGUCGAGAAAAUUUGGAGAGCAAAUGUUCUUUAGUUUUUCUGUACAAUUCCAGGAUUUUAUCUUGGAUUUUGAGGAGAGAUGGGAGGGGACUGGACCAUGGCACUGUAAGUCCGGCCUCCUGUGGUGGGCUCGCAGCCAGGAUUGCCUUGCAAGACAGACCAAUAGCCAGAUGCCAGUUCUGAUGAGGAUAGUGACAUUCAUGAAUGGGUCAGGCAGAGGGUCACUGAAAUAGAGGCGGAAAGGCAUCUCGAUCUGGCUCUGUUUAAUGAUGGUGGUGAUCACUUAUUUGAGGGUGUAGGGGAGUUGCCCAGUGAAAUGUUCAUGCCUUGGAGCCAGAGCAAAAAAGUGGUCAUGUCUCCACAGCCCUGACACAGCGUGGUACACGUGGU
Molecule: long non-coding RNA, 480 nt
Organism: Schistocerca cancellata (South American locust)
Lineage: Eukaryota; Metazoa; Arthropoda; Insecta; Orthoptera; Acrididae
Exons: 4
Source: RefSeq, a predicted model, not a curated record